RNAcentral lists this unclassified non-coding RNA (392 nucleotides) under Hevea brasiliensis (rubber tree). Lineage: Eukaryota; Viridiplantae; Streptophyta; Magnoliopsida; Malpighiales; Euphorbiaceae. The record is from RNAcentral.
GAGAACCCGGGUACUGAUCAGUGAAGUGCAGAGAGAUGAAUAAUUUUCCAAAAUUUUCAAAUGCCUUUUCUCCGAAAACCUGAUCGAGCACAACAUCAUUGAUCAGAUCCCCCGCAACCUCCUUCGACUCCGUGACCACUGCCAGAUCCUCCGCAACCCACUUCCUCCCAUUCGGUGGCCCUCCUACCAGGGUAGCAUACCUCUGCAAAUCCCUCGCCUCCUUAAGCAUCGUCUUCGCCGUCUUCUGCCUCGCAACUGCCAACACCACAUGAUCCAUUGAAUCAUCAUUCAUUGCCACCUCAAACGAGAUCGUAUCCCUCUUCGGAAACACCAGAUCCAGCAUCCUAGAUAUCAGAUCAUGGCGGCUCCUCAACUCCAUUGUCGCAAGCAGG